This 71-nucleotide transfer RNA is filed under the name Marmota monax (woodchuck). RNAcentral's name for it is "tRNA.Ala". Lineage: Eukaryota; Metazoa; Chordata; Mammalia; Rodentia; Sciuridae. The record is from RNAcentral.
GGGGUUGUGGCUCAGCGGUAGAGCACUCGCCUAGCAUGUGCGAGGCCCUGGGUUGGAUCCUCAGCACCACA